This 1166-nucleotide long non-coding RNA is filed under the name Mus pahari (shrew mouse). RNAcentral's name for it is "RIKEN cDNA 9530046B11 gene (MGP_PahariEiJ_G0003163.1)". Lineage: Eukaryota; Metazoa; Chordata; Mammalia; Rodentia; Muridae. The record is from RNAcentral.
AAAUAAACAAGGUCCCGGAUCGAGACCUGAGGCUGGAAGAGCCAUCACGCAAAUGCAGACCCCCUCGGACCUGAAAACAAAUCCCGACCUCCCCCUUCGCCUACUUCGCCGUGGCAGGACGCGAUUCCAUUGAACCCCUCCCAACCUAGGAGGUGAGGACUCCAUGCUACCCCGCAGGAGAAAAGGAAAAACAAAAAACGGCGGCGUCAGUCUAGAAUCCCAGCUUCAGGUUGCUCACCGGAUAGCUGCCUUGUGGUUCCCCGAACAUAACUUUUAAGAAAUGCAGGAAUGUCCAGUAUGCAAAGCUGGGAUGGCUUUUCUGGCAGCUCGGGGACCUGAAGCCCCUUCUGGACAAGAGUCCUUCUUCAAGCCCAGCCUCAGCAGAGCUUCUCAGAGCUGUCUCUUCUCCAAAGGAUGAGGUCAGCUUCCUGUGUGUGCUUGCGCUCUCUCUCUCUCUCUCUCUCUCUCUCUCUCUCUCUCUCUCUCUCUCUCUCUCUCUCUCUGUGUGUGUGUAAGCUGUUGGAUCACAUGUGGACUAUGUGUAAUCCAGCACACUGUGGGAUUGCAGCUCCCAAUACUAUUAAAGAAGCAACAAAAGUAACGGGCAUCAUUUUUUGAACUCAGAAUCCAUUGAUACAAUGAAACAAACGACAGUUGGGUUUGUUACUAAACUGUUACAUGAAGCUGCCCCCCCUUUUUUGUGUAAUCUUGUUUGUGCUUAGCUUUUAUUUCUGUCUCCCUGAUUACAGCCAGUGUUAAACGUCAUGUGUUUCUGUUUUACAUGGGUUACAGAGAUACAAACAGUUGGAUGAUGACAAUUUGCCCCUUAUCUUCCAGGAAAACUGUAGAGCUGACCUACUAAGAGCAGCCCUAUUAAGUGCUUCUUAGUGGGGAAGGAAAUGGACUUUUUAAGAAUCCCUCGUGACUUUUGGCUCGACCAAAUUUUAUCAUUGCUUGUAAAACCUAAGUGUCCUUCAAAAUCAAGUUUCACCCCUUAAAAUUCUCCAUCACUUCUCCCAAAUAGGGUAUUCAGUCAGACUACCCAGAUGAAGUUUGAUAUGCAAACAAUGUUUAGCAUGCAAAUUUUGCUGGGGAAAUACAAAAGAGAGAGAGAGAGAGCAGUUUUUUUUGACAUGUUUGAAUCUCUAGGAUCAAUCUCCAGUACU